Molecule: transfer RNA, 74 nt
Filed under: Sus scrofa (pig)
Lineage: Eukaryota; Metazoa; Chordata; Mammalia; Artiodactyla; Suidae
Rfam family: tRNA
About the family: Transfer RNA (tRNA) molecules are approximately 80 nucleotides in length. Their secondary structure includes four short double-helical elements and three loops (D, anti-codon, and T loops).
Source: Rfam by way of RNAcentral
UCCCUGGUGGUGCAGCGGGUUAAGGAUCUGGCAUUGUCACUGCUGUGGUUUGGGUUCAAUCCCCGGCCUGGGAA